UGCUUAAGCAGCCAAAGCCAAGAGGCUUCGGCACCGGGGGUCUGCGCUGGAGGGGCUCCUGGUCCUGCCCACGCUGGGGGGUAAAUCAGAGGGAUGCGGGGUUCCUCUUUUCCCCUCUGCUGGGAUGAACUGCCUGGGGAACGCCAUUUCUGCCAGCCCGGUCCUGCCCGUGUCUGCUGGAGAAGGCAAGAGGUCAGCAGGAAGAAGAGGAAAUGUGGUGCCAGACCUGUCUCAUCAGCUUGUGCUUCCCUCUGAGGACAGAGAGUCUCUGGGCAAGUGAGCCGGGGCUGGCACAAGGACUCGUGCAGGUACUGACCUGGCACCGGAGCCAUUGCCCUU
Long non-coding RNA from Hirundo rustica (Barn swallow), 339 nucleotides. RefSeq lists it as uncharacterized. Lineage: Eukaryota; Metazoa; Chordata; Aves; Passeriformes; Hirundinidae. The transcript is spliced from 3 exons. The record is from RefSeq and is a predicted model, not a curated record.